Leptonychotes weddellii (Weddell seal) is the source of this 2331-nucleotide non-coding RNA. The record is from RefSeq and is a predicted model, not a curated record. Lineage: Eukaryota; Metazoa; Chordata; Mammalia; Carnivora; Phocidae.
ACUUUUUUCUUCACAAUUCUUUCCAAAUACAUAAAUAUUUUGCAGUAUUCCAAAUUUCCUUAGAUGUUUUUUAUUCCCUCUCUUAUGUGGGUGAGUGAAUCAUUUCAUUGAUCAGGACUCUUGAUGAACAAGCACAGUUCACUGCAUUCUAAAAGAAUACACAUUUCCCAUUUUUAUUCUUUAUGCCCCCGCAAACCUGUGUCCCUUAGUAGUGGGGUAAGCCCAUGUCUGUGUGCUAGCUCGCUAGAUCUGCACGCUACUGAUAUUUAAAUCACUUGAUCCUUUCAAAAUAGUCUAUGCAAACCCAGGUGACCCUCAGCCCAACAGACAUUUUUCUUCCCUAAUUGUAGGAGAGCCAAGUUCACUUUGUUCUUGGACCUUCCUCCUCACACUGCCCCACAUUUCCUUCUCUUUGAGGGGCAAUGGCAUGUAAGUCAAAGAUUCGUGGUCCAGGAGAAAGAACACUGGGCCCAGAGCCAGGUGACGAGGGGUUGAAUCCCAAUCUAGCUACUCAUUCAUCCAUCAUGGAGUCUUGGGGAAAUCUCUCUGUCUUUCUAGUCUUCCAUUACCCCACAGGACUGUCAUGGAAUGCAGUCAGCUCAGUGUGGCAUGCUUGGCUUUUCCCUGGGAGAAUGCCACAGGAAGCCCAAGGCAGGGGCAAGCAAGGCUAGGUCUGCAGUGUGGCCACAUAGCUAGCCCCCGCUAAGUCUCCUCCAGCAGUUCCCCACCUGCCGGGGUAGAGGAUGCAUCAUCCCUGAGCAGCCUGAGCUGGCUAAGGCCCACAUUUUUUGCCACAACCCCUGCUCUAAUUAAAAAAAAGAGUAUUGCUACCUAGGAUAUGAUUCAUAAUACUUAAUAAUAGUAAUAACUCCAAACACGCUAUUCUAAGUUCUGGACUAGACUCUGAAACUGAAUUAGUUUCAGUUUUCUGCAUUUCCCUUUCCCCAUGUGUAAACUCAGGAAGGUGGAUCACGUAGUCAGUCCUCUUUUAACACCGAGUUCUUCCACAUCUAAGCACUGUCUUUAAUACUUAUGGGGGAAUAACUACUCAGGUACAAUUUGCAACGCCCAUUUUAUGGAAUAAGAAACGGGCUCUGACUGGUUCACAGGGGCAACAAGCCACGGAUCUGGUUUCCAGCCAGGCAGUCAGACUCCCAGCUGCUCGGACUUCCUUCAGUAAGUGACUUCUAGGGGCAGAUUUACCCCCAGGAUAGGGACUCCUCAUCCCCUCAAAGCUCAGCUUUUAGGAUGUGAGAAACAGUGAACACACUUCUCAGGUAACUUCCAAUGUUGUUUUCUGCAUUUACUUGAUGAAGCAGGUGCCCCAGGCAUCAUUAUGGGAUGUGACUGUUCCUUACUUGGUCUUUGUCGGUUAGCUUUAAAAAUCCCCAAACACAUAUUGGUGUAAAAAGGCAACCUUUUGUCUUCUGUUUGGGUUAUGUCUCCUUUGACUUCUGAGCAUAAGAAUGACUGUGAUUGCAAAAAGACAAAGAUGUUGAUUUUAUAAACCACGAACUUAUGAACCAUUCUGCUGCCCUCCUGUUGCUGCUGAUAAAGACCUCAUCAUUUGGAACAGCAUUUAAAGAGACAGACAUACCAGACAGCUAUUCAGAGCUGUGCUGUUUUGAAAGGAGAGGUUGGUUCCUUUGAAGCCACAGUGCCUGAUUUUGCUUUCUGAGGUGUGUGUGCAGCUCCUCUAAAUGCUAGCUUUGUGUGCACAUCUGAGGGUGGAUUUCUGGCUCGGAAGAAGAUAUGACGCAGUGAUGAGGGUGUGCCUGGUGCAACCAGAGCUGAGUUAUUUUCCUGUCCCCCCCACACCCCGCCCUUUCCUCCUCUGCAGGAUCCCUGUGCUCACCUAGAGAUAAGGGAGCACAGAGGUUUCCCUGGAGGCUGGAGGCCCACCUCCUUGGCAGUCCGGGCAGCCUGCAGGCCAGGGACUGGGCCUGCUUCCCCCACAGUCUCCUAUUUCAACAGAAACCCCUGCUUGAAUAAAGCCUGAGAGGAAAUGAGUUCAGAGGGAGGGAGGUGCCUCAUUUCCAGAAAAGGCUUCAGAUUCAGACUCUGACUUCACCUGUCCCUCUCCCUGUGAAGGGCCCAUUGAAAUCAACGCAUCCUUCUCCUUGGCGCAGCCUCCAAGUCACCUAGAAGCUCCUUCCUUGUCUUCCUGCCUGGCCCCAGUCUCCAUGACAACCCCAUGAAGCAAGCACCACUUCUAGGCCCAUUUCAUGGAUGAAGAAGUGAGGUGUAAACAUAAGUUAUCUGUCAACUUCACACAACUGGGAAUUUGUCAAAUUAAGAUCCAAAAUAUAAUUUUUUUUGGACUCCUUGUGA